GGGAACAUAGCCUAAUGGUAGAGCAUCUGCUUUGCACGCAGAAGGUCCUAGGUUCUACCCCUGGGGUUUCCA
Molecule: non-coding RNA, 72 nt
Organism: Podarcis lilfordi (Lilford's wall lizard)
Lineage: Eukaryota; Metazoa; Chordata; Lepidosauria; Squamata; Lacertidae
Source: the annotation of a GenBank genome assembly